GCCAGGCGUGGUGGCGCGCGCCUGUAAUCCCAGCUACUCAGGAGGCUGAGGCAGUAGAAUCACUUGAACCCAGGAGACUGAGUUUGCAGUGAGCCAAGAUUGAACCACUGCACUCCAGCCUAGGCGACAGAGUGAGACUCUGUCUCAA
RNAcentral lists this non-coding RNA (148 nucleotides) under Pan troglodytes (chimpanzee). The record is from Rfam by way of RNAcentral. Lineage: Eukaryota; Metazoa; Chordata; Mammalia; Primates; Hominidae.